Brassica oleracea var. oleracea is the source of this 901-nucleotide long non-coding RNA. RefSeq lists it as uncharacterized. The transcript is spliced from 5 exons. The record is from RefSeq and is a predicted model, not a curated record. Lineage: Eukaryota; Viridiplantae; Streptophyta; Magnoliopsida; Brassicales; Brassicaceae.
UGCAGAUAAAAGCAGUAGCCUCUACGGCCUUCAUCUUUCGAGUGUUCAAUCAUCAUCAUCAUCGGCAGCUCAUAAGAGAAAGAAGAUAUACUGAGCAAAGCGUUCGUCAAGAGCUUUACCUUCAAUGAACUCAGACUUGCAACCAGAAACUUCAGAUCAAAUUCUGUUAUCCGAGAAGGGCAUUUCGGUUCUGCUAUAGAGGUUCAAUCGAUGAGACUACUCUAACUCCAACUAAUUCCAUCACAGGUUUUAUAGUUCCUGUCAGGCGUCUUAACCCUGAUGGAUUUCAUGGUCACCGAGAAUGUCUGGAAUCAACUAUUUGUGGCAGUUAAGUCACCAGAACUUAGUUAAACUGAUUGGUUAUUGGCUUCGAAGAUAAACAACGGCUUCUUUUGUACGAGUUUAUGCAUAAGGGUAGUCUUGAGGAUCAUCUGUUCACAAAUGAUGUCCAGUUAAAACCGCUCUGGUGGACCUUAUGUGUUGAGAUUGCUCUUGAUGCAGCUAAAGAGCUUGCAUUCCUUCAUAGCGACCAUGUUUAAGUCAUUUAAACCUUCUAAGAUCUUGCUCGACUCGAAAACUUUCAGACUUUGGUUUACCGAGGGACUGUCCAAAGGGAGAAACAAGCUAUGUUAUUACAAGAGUCAUGGAUCGGGAUGCUCGCAGCUUCUCGAGAAAGAGUGGGAUUGAUAAAUAAUGUUUGAGAAAACAAAAAGAUAGCUAAGUCGCCGCUUACAAAGCGAAGAUGAAAAUAUAUGUAGAGAAAAGGAGAGCCUUUUUUUUACUGGAAAGAUAAUUUUCUUCUUUGAAAAUAAUAUUAACAGUUUAUAUUAUUGCAAGCGGAAACUAUUUAAGUUUUAGUUAACAUUUAGAAAUGUAUAUUUUACCCUCAGUUGAAUACAAC